RNAcentral lists this RNase P RNA (418 nucleotides) under Proteobacteria bacterium ST_bin14. Its description in RNAcentral is "RNase P RNA component class A". It matches the Rfam family "Bacterial RNase P class A". Rfam says of the family: Ribonuclease P (RNase P) is a ubiquitous endoribonuclease, found in archaea, bacteria and eukarya as well as chloroplasts and mitochondria. Lineage: Bacteria; Pseudomonadati; Pseudomonadota. The record is from RNAcentral.
UCAGAGGGUCGGGCGGCCGCGGGUGUGCAAGCACGCGAGGAAAGUCCGGGCUCCACGGAAACAACGGUGCCGGAUAACGUCCGGCGGCCCGGGCUUUGACUUAGGUCGCAGGCCAGGGUCAGGGAAAGUGCCACAGAGAGCAGACCGCCGAUGCUCGCCUUCGGGCAAGACAGGCAAGGGUGAAAGGGUGCGGUAAGAGCGCACCGCGCGACCGGUAACGGCAGCGGCAUGGCAAACCCCACCGGGAGCAAGACCGAAUAGGGGUGGCGCGAGGUUUCGACCUCAGGGCAUUGUUCCGGCCCGCCGCCCGGGUUGGUUGCUUGAGCCCCGGAGUAAUCCGGGGCCUAGAGGAAUGGUCGCCUAUCCUUGACCGAAAGGGCAGGGUGGACAGAACCCGGCUUACAGACCCUCUGACAUU